RNAcentral lists this ribosomal RNA (279 nucleotides) under uncultured bacterium. Its description in RNAcentral is "partial 16S ribosomal RNA". It matches the Rfam family "Bacterial small subunit ribosomal RNA", at positions 506 to 784 of the family's 1533-position model. The record is from RNAcentral.
UGCCAGCCGCCGCGGUAAUACGGAGGGGGUUAGCGUUGUUCGGAAUUACUGGGCGUAAAGCGCACGUAGGCGGACUGGAAAGUUGGGGGUGAAAUCCCAGGGCUCAACCCUGGAGCUGCCUCCAAAACUAUCAGUCUAGAGUUCGAGAGAGGUGAGUGGAAUUCCGAGUGUAGCGGUGAAAUGCGUAGAUAUUCGGAGGAACACCAAUUGCGAAGGCAGCUCACUGGGCCGCUAUCGACGCUGAGGAGCGAAAGCUAGGGGAGCAAACAGGAUUAGAUA